GUAUUUAAGAGUCACUUUAUUUCACAGCAUCAAAUACAUCUUCCCAAACUGACAAAAUUAUUCUAAAAGCAAAGUAUAAAACAUAAUGAUUUAAUGCAUUUUCUGCAUUUGAUAUUUCAAAUGAUAUCCUUUAUUUUUCUUACACUUUUGGUAUAAGUUUGCCAACUAUUUUUUAAGUCCUUCAUUUUAUAAAAUUAUAGCGAUAAUAGAUGGUAUGAGUUUUAAUUUUAUUUUCAGUAUCCUAUAUGGCACAGUAAGAUGUUGGCAACUUUAGGUGGAUCACGAAAAGCAACUGUCAUAGUUGUCUUUAAACAAAUCUGCAAAAUCUGAAAGCCUAAAAAAUGACUUAGUUUCGCUUCUGACUCCCCAGCAGCCGUCGCUCAGGUGGAGACUCUGAGGUCUCAUUGCAUGCUUUGGGUCAGACCUUUAAGGCCAGAGUGGAAUCACAAAGUCUUAUUAAGACCUCAGCUCUGCCACCUUCUCGAAGCUGCAGGAUGUAUUGCCAUAGGAUUUUUCUCCUCUUCCUUUCUUUCUUUGAAAUUGUUUUUAUUCCUGGUCCAAAGUUUAGCUGGAUGCAUCGAAGUCCCCACAUGAAAGGACUUUUCUUCUUCUUUUAAUUGAAAUACAGUUGAUUUACUAUAUUUCACCAGUUUCGGGUGUACAGCAUGGUGAUUGUUGUACACACAGUGAUUCAGUAAAUGUACAGAUUUCCUCCACUUAAAGUUAUUACAAAAUAAUGACUAUAGUUCCCUGGGCUGUACAGUAUGCCUUUGUAGCUUAUCUAUGUUGUACACGGCAGUUUGUAUCUCUUGGUCCCCUUCCCCUUCUGGCUCCUCCCCCUUCCUUCUCCCCGCUGGUACCACUAGUUUGUUCUCCUCACCCGUGAGUCUAUUUCUGUUUUGUUAUACAUAUUUUAUGGUUUAGAUUUCACAUAUAAGUGAUAACACAGGGUAUUUGUCUUUGUCUGACUUAUUUCACUAAGCAUGAUAUUCUCUCAGUCCCUUGCAUUGUUGCAAAUUACAGAAUUUUAGGGCUGAGUAAUAUUCCAUUGUGUGUGUGAGUGUGUGUAAUGUGUGUGUGUCUGUGUGUGUGUGUGUACACAUCACAUCUUCUUUAUCCAUUCAUCUGCUGAUGGACACAGAGGUUGCUUCCAUAUCGCGGCUAUUGUAAAUAAUGCUACUAUUAACAUUGGGGUGCAUGUAUCUUUUCAAAUUAGUGUUUUUUGUUUUCUUCAGAUAUAUACUCAGGAGUGGAAUUACUGAAUCAUAUGUUUGUUCUUUUUUAGUUUUUGAGGAACCUCCAUACUGUUUUCCACCUUGGCUACACAAAUUCACACUCCCACCAACAGCGUAUAAGGGUUUCCUUUUCUCCAUCCUUGCCAGCAUUUGUUAUUUGUGGUCUUUUUGAAGAUAGCCAUUCUGACAGGUGUGAAAUGAUAUCUCAUUACAGCAGUGCUUUUUGGAUCUAUCUCUCAAGGCAAAAGAAAUAAAAUCAAAAAUAAAUACAUGGGACCUAAUUAAACUUAAGGGCUUUUUUGCACAGCAAAGGAAGCCAUCAGCAAAACAAAAAGGCAACCUACUGAAUGAGAGGAAAUACUUGCCAAUGAUAUGACCAAUAAGGUUUAAUAUCCAUAAUAUAUAAAAACCUCAUACACUCCAAUAUCAAAAAACAAAGCAACCAGAUUAAAGCUUGGCAGAAGACCUGAAGGGUCAUUUUUCCAAAAAAAAAAAAAAAAAGACAUAUAGAUGGCCCACAGGCUCAUGAAAAGAGCUCAAUAUCACUAGAGGAUUUUUUUUGUGAGAGAGGUAAAAAUCCCCAACUUGGAGUCCAGAGAUCUGGGCAUAGAUGCCAAUCCACUGUGUCUGAGCCUCAUUCAAUCUCCCUCAACUUCUCUCUUUCCAUUUCUAAGUCAAAGUCUAAGAUCUCUAAAGGCGAUGCAUUGAUAUUACCUUAUAUGUGACUCCAUCAAUUUCUCACAUUCAAGUUAAAUUAAUCAGUUUCAAGCAGAAGAACCUUAUCCUUUGGACCUGAGUUUAUUGGCACUUGCAUAGGCAUGAAGACCUACUGUGUAUAAUGACGAUUUUCUUUUCUUUUUUUUUUUUUUUUUAUGGCCACACCUGUAGCAUAUGAAGUUCCCAGGGAAGGGACUGACUCCUAAACCGCAACUGCAGCAAUGCCAGAUCCUUUACCCACUGCACCUGGCCAGGAAUUGAACCUGCACCCCUGCAAUGACCCAAGCCUUUGCAGUUAGAUUCUUAACCUACUGCACCACAGUGGGAACUCCUAACAGUGCUUUUACAGACUUCAAGAAAGGGGAGAUGUUUUGAAAAUUAGGAGGCAGUUAGGCAUCCUUUCCCUCCUCCUUUAGAUCACAAAUUCGUGUGACUUCAGAAGUUAACGGGGCAGGUCAAAUCAAGGUGGGAGCGGGCAGGAGCCAAAAGGGAGUGGUAAGGACCACAGUAAAUUGGAAAGGGGACGUCUUACUGAGAGGCACUCAAAUUCAGAUAUCUUUUUUUUUUCUUUCCUAGGGCCACACCUGCGGCAUAUGGAGGUUCCCAGGCUAGGGGUCCAAUUGGAGCUGCAGUGCCGGCCUACGCCACAGCCACAGCAACACAGGAUCCGAGCCACGUCUGCAACCUACACCUCAGCUAACGGCAAUGCCAGAUCCUUAACCCACUGAGCGAGGCCAGGGAUCAAACCCGCAACCUCAUGGUUCCUAGUCAGACUCGUUAACCAUUGAGCCACAACAGGAACUCCCAAAUUCAGAUAUCUUUACAACACUCUUGCAACUUCCAAUCUGAAGAGAUUGGUCCUUGAGAAAGGGUGGUGGUCCUUGGGAGACCCACUUGUGAGUUCGGCCCAACUGUCAGAUAGGAAAGGCACAGCAUGCAGGCACCCACAGAGGUGUGGGAGUCACAGAGGGUCUAUAUUCUCACUGGUCCAUCAUCGAGUGUGAAGUCCCAGAGCCUUCCCCCACAUCUGUUUCAGGCUUCGUGGGGAGGAGGGUGACUGAGCACCAUUGGUCAGCACUGACCAUCCUGCUGACACUCCAAGGUGCCAGCCAGGAUGCAAUGUCUCAGGCAUGAGGACUGCUCAGACAGCAGAAUGAUGCAUGCAAAAGGGGGGAGUGUGUGUGUGACGAUUCCCCAAAAGUGAGUAGAAGUUCCUUUGAGAUAGAUUAGAAAAAAAGAGAUUUUUUUUUUAUUAGAGUAUAGUUGAUUUCCAGUGUUGGGUCAAUUUCCUACCAUACAGCAUAGUGUAUAAUACAUUCUUUUUCUCCUAUUAUCUUCCAUCGUGAUCUGUUUAACAAGGGACACGCUGGAAAGAGUAGCAGGUAAGUCUUGUGGGAGAGAGUUUAUGACGAACUUUCUGGAAAGGGUUUCCCCCCUUAACUGCUUUCUAGUAGACCUCGGGAGGCUGUCCUACUCACACCUAGGCAUGUCCUUUCCAUUCCUGCAUGUUGGAAUUCCCAUCUUCAGCUACCCCAUUGCCUCAGCAAGGAUAUGUGUAUAGCCAGGUGUGGUGGCAACUCGGGGGGCUUGAGACACCAGGUUGGAAAGAAGAAGUGUCCGUGUCCCCCUUCCUGCUGCCAGCCCUCUGCUGAGCCCAUAGGGAAAGCACCUGCACCCUAUGCAUCCAGGGCUGAGUGGGAACUCAGCCUCUCGGGAAGGGCAGACACGAGUAGGGAAGGACCCUUUCCUGCCUAGACAACUCUAGGAGGACAAGGGCCUGGGUGUCAGGGAGCCAGCCAUCUGCUGGAGGAAGCUGGUCUCUGAGAAGCGUAGGAGGGAAAAGAUGACCAGCCUAAAGAUGCAGAGCAGGUUCAAAUAUGCAUUAAAUGUCCUGAAAGGGGGACCCGGUGGGGCUGCCGAGUAGAGAAGACAUGGCGAGGUGUAGCUUAGAAUAACAGAUUUUCUUGCCUUUGUGUCUUUAUAUGAUUGCUAAAAUGAGAACUCCAGAUCUGUCUGUCUCCUUUUUCUGUAGUUAUAACUGUUGAAGUCCAUAAAAACUGUUCCCUCGCACAUUUGGCCAGGAAACCCAGGCUUCACAGGAGCCGCACGGAACAUUCCAUCUCGUCCUAAAGCAAAACCUGUCACAUCCCAACAGCACAGUCUUUCUCUCCUUCUAUUUGUAAUAAGUGUUGCCUUUCCUGGUGGGUUUUUAAAAAUAUUAUUAAAUAAAACCUUGCCAAAUUUACUUUGCAGAAGUAUCUUUUAUGGAAAGCAGAUGGAAAAAGCUAACUUAAAAUGCAAAUCAUAACAUUAUAAUGACUUCUUAAUUUUAAAAGUUAUAGCUACAACUUCCCAGGAGGGACUGAAAGAGAUGGUGACAACAGCUGUGGAAGAAACAUCAGAAGUGGGAGGUGCCUGGAAAACAAAGAAAGGCUGCAGAGUGGCACAGAUCACGAAGAAUAUUCCUUGUUCUUAGAUGUGGCGGCCUGAGCACUCACGCAUGUUCAAUUCUGCAGCGUUUUUUCAGGGAAAGGAAAGGAAAGGAAAAGAACAAAGACACCUCCAACCUUCAGGAGAGAGAUUACUCCCCAACGUGUCUACACAUGCCACGAGGUGUACAGAGUUCUAGAAAAACACAUCUAAUGUCCCCCUCAGACAGGAAUAUGAAACCACCAUUCACAGGUUCUCCAGAUUCUAAUGUAUUUACUCAGAUGUUAAACGCCUGAAAUGAGUAUUUAACAAAGAGGUUUCGUGC
Molecule: long non-coding RNA, 4707 nt
Filed under: Sus scrofa (pig)
Lineage: Eukaryota; Metazoa; Chordata; Mammalia; Artiodactyla; Suidae
Description: lncRNA (ENSSSCG00000063132.1)
Source: RNAcentral